UCAUUAAAUCAGUUAUCGUUUAUUUGAUAGUACCUUACUACUUGGAUAACCGUGGUAAUUCUAGAGCUAAUACAUGCUAAAAACCUCGACUUCGGAAGGGGUGUAUUUAUUAGAUAAAAAACCAAUGCCCUUCGGGGCUUCUUGGUGAUUCAUAAUAACUUAACGAAUCGCAUGGCCUUGUGCCGGCGAUGGCUCAUUCAAAUUUCUGCCCUAUCAACUUUCGAUGUUAAUGUAUUGGAUUAACAUGGUUUCAACGGGUAACGGGGAAUUAGGGUUCUAUUCCGGAGAGGGAGCCUGAGAAACGGCUACCACAUCCAAGGAAGGCAGCAGGCGCGCAAAUUACCCAAUCCCGACACGGGGAGGUAGUGACAAUAAAUACUGAUACAGGGCUCUUUUGGGUCUUGUAAUUGGAAUGAGUACAAUUUAAAUCCCUUAACGAGGAACAAUUGGAGGGCAAGUCUGGUGCCAGCAGCCGCGGUAAUUCCAGCUCCAAUAGCGUAUAUUAAAGUUGUUGCAGUUAAAAAGCUCGUAGUUGAACCUUGGGCCUGGCUGGCCGGUCCGCCUCACCGCGUGCACUGGUCCGGCCGGGCCUUUCCUUCUGGGGAGCCGCAUGCCCUUUACUGGGUGUGUCGGGGAACCAGGACUUUUACUUUGAAAAAAUUAGAGUGUUCAAAGCAGGCCUAUGCUCGAAUACAUUAGCAUGGAAUAAUAGAAUAGGACGUGUGGUUCUAUUUUGUUGGUUUCUAGGACCGCCGUAAUGAUUAAUAGGGAUAGUCGGGGGCAUCAGUAUUCAAUUGUCAGAGGUGAAAUUCUUGGAUUUAUUGAAGACUAACUACUGCGAAAGCAUUUGCCAAGGAUGUUUUCAUUAAUCAGUGAACGAAAGUUAGGGGAUCGAAGACGAUCAGAUACCGUCGUAGUCUUAACCAUAAACUAUGCCGACUAGGGAUCGGGCGAUGUUAUCUUUUUGACUCGCUCGGCACCUUACGAGAAAUCAAAGUCUUUGGUCUG
Molecule: ribosomal RNA, 1008 nt
Filed under: Calycina eucalypticola
Lineage: Eukaryota; Fungi; Ascomycota; Leotiomycetes; Helotiales
Description: SSU rRNA
Rfam family: Eukaryotic small subunit ribosomal RNA
Source: RNAcentral